Non-coding RNA from Potamilus streckersoni, 71 nucleotides. NCBI's taxonomy places the organism in Eukaryota, Metazoa, Mollusca, Bivalvia, Unionida, Unionidae. The record is from the annotation of a GenBank genome assembly.
GAUGUCCUUAGUGGUUAGAGCGUCCGCCUCGGAUGUGGGAUGUCGCGGGUUCGAAUCCCGGCCGAGUAAUA